Non-coding RNA from Vicia faba (fava bean), 309 nucleotides. The record is from the annotation of a GenBank genome assembly. NCBI's taxonomy places the organism in Eukaryota, Viridiplantae, Streptophyta, Magnoliopsida, Fabales, Fabaceae.
AUGAUUCAAUGGGAGUUUUGUUCCUCCACUCAUGCUCUACAACUUGGUAUCAAGACAGGAAAGAAGAGAGUUAGAAAUCAACAACCCCGGCGGAAACGAGUGCAGGCCUUGAUGGAAAUGAUCCGUCGUGCUUCAAACUUUUGUAUCAAGUACGAGUUUCUCACCUCUUUACUAUGGUAUUAUCCUUCGUAUAUCACGCCUCUGACUCAUUUAGAUUCUAUGAUACAACAAUCAGUAGAAAAGGGCGAAAGAAAAAAGACAGAGGAAUGUCGAAGCUUACUGGCCAAAGAUACUCUGGUGGCUCUUUAA